RNAcentral lists this ribosomal RNA (262 nucleotides) under uncultured Eubacteriales bacterium. Its description in RNAcentral is "uncultured Clostridiales bacterium partial 16S ribosomal RNA". It matches the Rfam family "Bacterial small subunit ribosomal RNA", at positions 79 to 339 of the family's 1533-position model. Lineage: Bacteria; Bacillati; Bacillota; Clostridia; Eubacteriales. The record is from RNAcentral.
CACACUAACUAUUCUAGCGGCGGACGGGUGAGUAACGCGUGAGCAAUCUGUCCCAGACAGUGGAAUAACAGAUGGAAACAUCUGCUAAUACCGCAUAAGACCACGGCUUCACAUGGAGCUGAGGUAAAAGGAGAAAUCCGGUUUGGGGUGAGCUCGCGUCUGAUUAGCUAGUUGGAGGGGUAAUGGCCCACCAAGGCAACGAUCAGUAGCCGGCCUGAGAGGGCGAACGGCCACACUGGAACUGAGAUACGGUCCAGACUCC